GCCGGUGUAGCUCAGCAGGUAGAGCAAUGCAUUCGUAAUGCAUGGGUCGGGGGUUCAAGUCCCUUCACCGGCACCA
RNAcentral lists this transfer RNA (76 nucleotides) under Rhodobacter sp. Its description in RNAcentral is "tRNA-Thr". It matches the Rfam family "tRNA". From Rfam's summary of the family: Transfer RNA (tRNA) molecules are approximately 80 nucleotides in length. Their secondary structure includes four short double-helical elements and three loops (D, anti-codon, and T loops). The record is from RNAcentral. Lineage: Bacteria; Pseudomonadati; Pseudomonadota; Alphaproteobacteria; Rhodobacterales.